CCCAAAAUGUGAUCAUAAGUGAAGAUAAAUGGAUUACUUGAGUGUUGAGACAAGAGGGACAUGCUCUUCUAUUUUAUGUGUCCAUCUUUACCUUUCUGAAAAAAUAAGAAUGUUGUAAUUAGCAUUCUAUGUUUGAAUCUGAGGCUCACUAUUUAUAAGCUGUGUGAUAAUGGGAGAGUUACCCGACUUCUCUGAGCCUCAGUUUUAUCAUUGGAAAACAGCAUAAAUGUACCAUAUUGUAAAGAUCUUGUUAGGAUUGAUCGUGGUGACUCGGUAGAUAAAGCUCCUAGUGUAAUGCCUGGCCCUCAUCAUCAUGUUCAUCAUUAUUAUCACUGUGUUUCUGAAAUGUCACUGAAACGUGUCUUUUAUAGGUGGAACAUAAAUAAUGAUACCUGGGUCAUAACUGAGCAACUAAAACCUUUAACAGUGAAUUUGGACUUCCGAAGAAACAACAAAACUGUCUUCAAGGCUUCAAGCUUUGCUGGCUAUGUGGGCAUGUUAACAGGAUUCAAACCAGUAAGGAGUCUGUUGUUACAUAAUUAUACGGGUAGCUUUUUGUCCUAUUACUGUUACGUAAAAGUUGAAAUCUAAGAAUAUGAGGACCUAAAGGGAAUAUGAAGCCCCAUUUCACCCCCUUGUACUUCUUGUCAGUAUGAGAUCUCGUGGUAGAGAAGAGUAGAAAGGAAAUGGAGGUUUCUGAGCCUGUUCUGGGAUAAAGAGCAUGUGGCCGGGUGUCAAGGGCUCGGAGUCACAAUCUGAUUUCUAGUCCUGGGUCUUCCGCUCACUUAGGCAAGUCAGGCGUUCAUUCUCUGCCCUUCAGUUUCCUGUCCAAAAAGCGUUGCCAGUGGUACCCCACCUACUUAUCUCACAUACUACAAUCAAAAAUGCUUCGAACUUUUUAAAAAGCCUUGCAUGGUUUUGAUUUAUUUUUGCCUUCCCCAUUACCCAAGCUAGGCCUUUAUAUCCCACUCCGAAGUACAGUGAGCGACAGGGCCUUAAAGCGCAUGGUUGAUGUUUCUGACUUCGUUGCUUUGUCUUUUUCUCAGGGACUGUUCAGUCUUACACUGAAUGAACGUUUCAGUAUAAAUGGUGGUUAUCUGGGUGUUCUAGAAUGGAUUUUGGGAAAGAAAGAUGCCAUGUGGAUAGGGUUCCUCACUAGAACAGUUCUGGAAAAUAGCACAAGUUAUGAAGAAGCCAAGAAUUUAUUGACCAAGACCAAGAUAUUGGCCCCAGCCUACUUUAUCCUGGGAGGCAACCAGUCGGGGGAAGGUUGUGUGAUUACACGAGACAGAAAGGAAUCAUUGGAUGUAUAUGAACUCGAUGCUAAGCAGGGUAGGUGGUAUGUGGUACAAACAAAUUAUGACCGUUGGAAACAUCCCUUCUUCCUUGAUGAUCGCAGAACGCCUGCCAAGAUGUGUCUGAACCGCACCACCCAAGAGAAUAUCUCAUUUGAAACCAUGUAUGAUGUCCUGUCAACAAAACCUGUCCUCAACAAGCUGACCGUAUUCACAACCUUGAUAGAUGUUACCAAAGGUCAAUUCGAAACUUACCUGCGGGACUGCCCUGACCCUUGUAUAGGGUGGUGAGCACACAUCUGGCCUACAGAAUGCGGCCUCUGAGACAUGAAGACACCAUCUCCAUGUGACCGAACACUGCAGCUGUCUGACCUUCCAAAGACUAAGACUCAGGGCAGGUUCUCUUUGAGUCACAAGCUUGUCUUCCUCCAUCUGUUGACAAUUGACAGACUUUUUUUUUCCCCCCAUCAGUUGAUUUUUCUUAUUUACAGAUACUUCUUUAGGAGAAGUAAAACAAUCAUCUAGAAUUCAUUGAGUUUUGUUUCACUUUGACAUUUGGGGAUCUGGUGGGCAGUCGAACCAUGGUGAGCUCCACCUCCGUGGAAUAAAUGGAGAUUCAGCGUGGGUAUUGAAUCCAGCACAUCUGUGUGAGUAACGGAACAGUAAACACUCCACAUUCUUCAGUUUUUCACUUUUACUUACUAUUUGUAUGUUUUUCUGUAUAACAGCCUUUUCCUUCUGAUUCUAACUACUGUUAAAAUUAAUAUGUCAUUAUCUUUGCUGUUAUUGACGGCAAUAUAAUUUUAUUACAUAUGAUUAGAGGGAUGAGACAGACAUUCACCUGUAUAUUUCUUUUAAUGGGCACAGAAUGGGCCUUUGACUCUAAAUAGCACUUUUUGGGGUUCAAGAAGUAAUCAGUAUGCAAAGCAGUCUUUUAUACAAUAAUUGAAGUGUUCCCUUUUUCAUAAUUACUCUACCUCCCAGUAACCCUAAGGAAGUUGCUAACUUAAAAAACCGCAUCCCAGAUUCUGUGAAUUUAGUACAUAAACAAGUCAAAGACUUGUGGAAAAUAGGAAGUGAACUCAUAUUUUAAAUUCUCAUAAGUAGCAUUCAUGUAAUAAACAGGUUUUUAGUUUGUUCUUCAGAUUGAUAGGUAGUUUUAAAGAAAUUUUAGUAGUUACUAAAAUUAUGUUACUUUAUUUUUCAGAAAUCAAACUACUUAUGAAAAUUACUAAUAGAACUUGUUAACCUUUCUAACCUUCACGAUUAACUGUGAAAUGUAUGCCAUUUGUGCAAGACCAUGUGUCCACUUCAUUUU
RNAcentral lists this small RNA (2613 nucleotides) under Pongo abelii (Sumatran orangutan). RNAcentral describes it as "retained intron". The record is from RNAcentral. Lineage: Eukaryota; Metazoa; Chordata; Mammalia; Primates; Hominidae.